UUUAAUAGCACAUUUCUCUGCCUUAUGUCCUCAUUGAUGACAAGCACAUGAUGCAAUGUAUCAUAUGUAGUAAUGGGAUGUGUAAUAUUCACAGAUUGCUGCCAUGUGUUCUUUUAGCUUUCUGUCACCCUCCCUGUAAGAAUGGUGGCCACUGCAUGAGAAAUAAUGUGUGCGUCUGUCGUGAAGGAUACACUGGUAGGAGAUUCCAAAAAAGUAAGACAUCACUAAAUG
RNAcentral lists this long non-coding RNA (231 nucleotides) under Homo sapiens (human). RNAcentral describes it as "non-protein coding lnc-THSD7A-5:1". Lineage: Eukaryota; Metazoa; Chordata; Mammalia; Primates; Hominidae. The record is from RNAcentral.